GAGAGAUGGUUCAGUGGUUAAGAGCACUGGCUGUUUAUCCAGAGGACCUGGGUUCAAUUCCCAGCUCUCA
Mesocricetus auratus (golden hamster) is the source of this 70-nucleotide non-coding RNA. NCBI's taxonomy places the organism in Eukaryota, Metazoa, Chordata, Mammalia, Rodentia, Cricetidae. The record is from Rfam.